This 774-nucleotide ribosomal RNA is filed under the name uncultured Neocallimastigales. Its description in RNAcentral is "partial large subunit ribosomal RNA". It matches the Rfam family "Eukaryotic large subunit ribosomal RNA", at positions 19 to 618 of the family's 3401-position model. Lineage: Eukaryota; Fungi; Neocallimastigomycota; Neocallimastigomycetes; Neocallimastigales. The record is from RNAcentral.
CGAGCACGCGCGUGUGGCAUAUCAAUAAGCGGAGGAAAAGAAACUAACAAGGAUUCCCUUAGUAACGGCGAGUGAAGCGGGAAGAGCUCAAAUUUGAAAUCUUCAAGGUACUACCUUGACGAAUUGUAGUUUAUAGAAGUGUUUUCUGUUAGUGGAGUGGCAAAAGUUCUUUGGAAUAGGACAUCAUAGAGGGUGAGAAUCCCGUAUUUGGUCAUUCCUCCUAGCGUUGUGAUACACUUUCAACGAGUCGGAUUGUUUGGGAAUGCAGUCCAAAAUGGGUGGUAAAUUUCAUCUAAAGCUAAGUAUUGGCGAGAGACCGAUAGCGAACAAGUACCGUGAGGGAAAGAUGAAAAGAACUUUGAAAAGAGAGUCAAACAGUACGUGAAAUUGUCAAAAGGGAGGCGUUUGACACCAGUGUUGUUUACCGAAAAUCAAUUACGAAUGUUUUGUUUUUGAGGAGUUAUGACUUCAUCGGCUUGCUUCUUUCUUUAUGAAACUUUCUUAAUGCACUUUUCGGUUAACAAGUCAACAUCAAUUUCUUUUGUUGUAAAAGGGUAUGAGGAAGGUGGCUUUCUUUUCGGAGAAAGUGUUUAUAGCCUUGUGCCUCUAGCAAUCGGAGAGAUUGAGGUCUGCAGCGUAGAUCCUUCGGGGUUAGAUACGUUUGUGCUAAGUUAUAGCUUUUCAUAGACAACUUGUUGACUAUGUUUAGUCUUGUAGCUUACUCGCUGACGCUAUUUUACCUACGCUUAGGAUGUUGAGUCAUCACACAUCUCU